RNAcentral lists this ribosomal RNA (253 nucleotides) under uncultured bacterium. Its description in RNAcentral is "partial 16S ribosomal RNA". It matches the Rfam family "Bacterial small subunit ribosomal RNA", at positions 524 to 776 of the family's 1533-position model. The record is from RNAcentral.
UACGUAGGUGACUAGCGUUGUCCGGAUUUACUGGGCGUAAAGAGCGCGCAGGCGGUCGUUUAAGUCGAGUGUGAAAGCCCCCGGCUCAACUGGGGAGGGUCAUUCGAUACUGAUCGACUCGAAGGCAGGAGAGGGAAGUGGAAUUCCCGGUGUAGUGGUGAAAUGCGUAGAUAUCGGGAGGAACACCAGUGGCGAAGGCGACUUCCUGGCCUGUUCUUGACGCUGAGGCGCGAAAGCUAGGGGAGCAAACGGG